This 497-nucleotide ribosomal RNA is filed under the name uncultured bacterium. RNAcentral describes it as "partial 16S ribosomal RNA". It matches the Rfam family "Bacterial small subunit ribosomal RNA", at positions 28 to 507 of the family's 1533-position model. The record is from RNAcentral.
GACGAACGCUGGCGGCGUGCUUAAUACAUGCAAGUCGAGCGAACAGACGAGGCGCUUGCGCCUUUGACGUUAGCGGAGGACGGGAGUGUAACAUGUGGAUAACCUACCUAUAAGUCGGAGAACAUUUGGGGAAACGGGCGCAAAUACGGGAGAAGAUAUUGAACCGCAUGGUGCAAUGGUGAGAGACGGCGUUGGUGUCACGAAUCGAUGCAUCUGCGCCGCAUUAGCUAGUUGGUAAGGUAAAGGCUUACGAAGGGAACGAUGCGUAGCCGACCGGAGAGGGUGGUCGGCCACACUGGAACUGAGACACGGUCCAGACUCCUACGGGAGGCAGCAGUAGGGAAUCUGCCGCAAUGGGCGAAAGCCUGACGGAGCAACGCCGCGUGAGUGAUGACGGUCUUCGGAUCGUAAAACUCUGUUAUUAGGUAAGAACAAAUUUGUAAGUAACUAUGCACGUCUUGACGGUACCUAAUCAGAAAGCCACGGCUAACUACGUG